RNAcentral lists this ribosomal RNA (549 nucleotides) under Valdivia serrata. RNAcentral describes it as "partial 16S ribosomal RNA". It matches the Rfam family "Bacterial large subunit ribosomal RNA", at positions 1799 to 2605 of the family's 2925-position model. The record is from RNAcentral. Lineage: Eukaryota; Metazoa; Arthropoda; Malacostraca; Decapoda; Trichodactylidae.
CCUGUUUUAUCAAAAACAUGUCUGUUUGUAGAUUUAAAGAGUCUAACCUGCCCGCUGAUAAGAUUAAAUUAAAGGGCCGCGGUAUUUUGACCGUGCAAAGGUAGCAUAAUCAUUUGUCUUUUAAUUGAAGGCUUGUAUGAAUGGUUGGACAAAGAAAAAACUGUCUUUGUAGUAUAAAUUGAAUUUGACUUUUAAGUGAAAAGGCUUAAAUAGGCCAAGGGGACGAUAAGACCCUAUAAAGCUUUAUAUAAAUAUUAUGUUUAUUUAAAUUUAAUAAUGAAAGAGUUUAAUAUAAUAAAAUAUUUUGUUGGGGCGACAUAUAUAUAAUUAAUUAUAACUGUAUAAAUUAAUUACUUGGAUUAUUGGGUAAAGAAUAAAUGGUCCUUAUUAAAGAUUAAAAGAUUAAGUUACUUUAGGGAUAACAGCGUAAUUUUUUUUAAGAGUUCUUAUCGAAAAAAAAGUUUGCGACCUCGAUGUUGAAUUAAAUUAUCUAUAUAAUGUAGUUGUUAUAUAAGAAGGUCUGUUCGACCAUUAAAUUUUUACGUGAUC